CGCGACCAAAGUGAAAAGGAGAAAUAAAAGAAAGAGAGAGUGAGAAGCCCUGGGAAUGGAUACCGUCUCCAACACACAACUAUGUCAGUUGGUGGCGGUAAUGGUCCGUAUUGUUGGUUUGUCGACCUAUAAUACACACCAUAAACGAAGAAGAAGUAGUCCCCCUGCGUUUACAACAUGGAUUAAUAUGUCUCUGAAUUCAGGGUCAACAACAACAGUUACCAUCAUUUAUCAAUAACGCGGAGCCCCCCGUCCAAGGGGUUCUGAAGAUCAUACACGUCUCCAUGGACUGGCUUGUGGGUCUUCCAGAUGCAUUCCACAUGGCAACCAGUGGUCUGAAUAUCACCAUCGUCCUCUUCCUGCUCUUCCUGGGUCUUCUCUACAGGGUCCAACGGACGGUUCCGGCCCUGGGGCCGUAUGCUGCCUGCUUCGAGUCUAGGUGGUACUUCUUGGUUUCACACCCGUCUGCUGGGCCCUGCUGAACGCCUGGUGAACCCUGGCUUGAUGGAGGCACAGAGCAGUGGACUCACUGGAUGACUGAUGACUCCUCCUCCACAACCCCAGACGUGGAAUUUUAUUUUCAAGCGACAAUUUCACAAUAACAGAAAAACUAACCUGAUAAUUGAAAAUAAAUGUAUUCUAAAUUUGUCAUUAUAGUAUUAUGGCUUUUUAUUUCAAAAUGGUUUGGAGUUUAUUUCAAGAUCUCUAGCGUCUAUGGCUAAUCAAAGCAUUCUUUGCUGAGCUACUGCAUGUGUAUCUAUGUGUAUAUAUAUAUAUAUUAUUU
Long non-coding RNA from Gadus morhua (Atlantic cod), 784 nucleotides. The record is from Ensembl. NCBI's taxonomy places the organism in Eukaryota, Metazoa, Chordata, Actinopteri, Gadiformes, Gadidae.